This 455-nucleotide ribosomal RNA is filed under the name Fonsecaea pedrosoi. RNAcentral describes it as "eukaryotic LSU rRNA". The stretch from base 126 to 280 matches the Rfam family "5.8S ribosomal RNA". The record is from RNAcentral. Lineage: Eukaryota; Fungi; Ascomycota; Eurotiomycetes; Chaetothyriales; Herpotrichiellaceae.
CCGCUGGAGGAACCGCCUAAUUGCGGGUGUUACCUCUGGCCAGUGUCUGCCGAUAGCCUAAUCUCCUAACUCUGGAUCAAUCAUGAUUUACAAUGUCUAAGUGAUUUUAUUCAAUUAAAAGCAAAAACUUUCAACAACGGAUCUCUUGGUUCUGGCAUCGAUGAAGAACGCAGCGAAAUGCGAUAAGUAAUGCGAAUUGCAGAAUUCCAGUGAGUCAUCGAAUCUUUGAACGCACAUUGCGCCCUUUGGUAUUCCGAAGGGCAUGCCUGUUCGAGCGUCAUUAUCACCCCCUCAAGCCCCUGUGCUUGGUGUUGGACGGCUUGGUGGAGCGAGUUCACACUUUCCACCCCUCCUAAAGACAAUGACGGCGGCCUGCGGAACCCCCGGUACACUGAGCUUCUUUAUUGAGCACGUAUCGGAUGAAGGGUGCCCGGGGCCCGGUCUUCUCCCUCACG